RNAcentral lists this ribosomal RNA (851 nucleotides) under uncultured bacterium. RNAcentral describes it as "bacterial SSU rRNA". It matches the Rfam family "Bacterial small subunit ribosomal RNA", at positions 48 to 939 of the family's 1533-position model. The record is from RNAcentral.
GCUACCAUGCAGUCGAGCGUGUCACUUCGGUGACAAGCGGCGAACGGGUGAGUAACACGUAGGUUAUCUGCCUUUUGGUGGGGGAUAACCCAGGGAAACCUGGGCUAAUACCGCAUAUGGUCUUCGGAUCAAAGCCUUCGGGCGCCAGAGGAUGAGCCUGCGGCGCAUUACCUAGUUGGUAGGGUAACGGCCUACCAAGGGGACGAUGCGUAGCUGGUCUGAGAGGAUGAUCAGCCACACUGGGACUGAGACACGGCCCAGACUUCUACGGAAGGCAGCAGUGGGGAAUAUUGCGCAAUGGGCGAAAGCCUGACGCAGCCACGCCGCGUGGGUGAUGAAGGCCCUCGGGUUGUAAAGCCCUGUCGGGAGGGACGAAGUUCUGACGGUACCUCCCAAGAAAGCACCGGCUAACUCCGUGCCAGCAGCCGCGGUAAUACGGAGGGUGCGAGCGUUGCUCGGAAUUAUUGGGCGUAAAGCGUACGCAGGCGGCUCAGCAAGUCGAGUGUGAAAUCCCGAGGCUCAACUUCGGACGUGCAUUCGAAACUACUGGGCUUGAGUGCGGGAGAGGGAAGCGGAAUUCCUGGUGUAGAGGUGAAAUUCGUAGAUAUCAGGAGGAACACCGGUGGCGAAAGCGGCUUCCUGGCCCGACACUGACGCUCAUGUACGAAAGCGUGGGGAGCAAACAGGAUUAGAUACCCUGGUAGUCCACGCCGUAAACGAUGAGUGCUAGCUGCUGGGAAUGUUUACCGUUUCAGUGGCGAAGCUAACGCAUUAAGCACUCCGCCUGGGAAGUACGGCCGCAAGGCUAAAACUCAAAGGAAUUGACGGGGGCCCGCACAAGCGGUGGAACC